This 626-nucleotide ribosomal RNA is filed under the name Staphylococcus sp. RNAcentral's name for it is "bacterial SSU rRNA". It matches the Rfam family "Bacterial small subunit ribosomal RNA", at positions 71 to 681 of the family's 1533-position model. Lineage: Bacteria; Bacillati; Bacillota; Bacilli; Caryophanales; Staphylococcaceae. The record is from RNAcentral.
ACGAGGAGCUUGCUCCUCUGACGUUAGCGGCGGACGGGUGAGUAACACGUGGAUAACCUACCUAUAAGACUGGGAUAACUUCGGGAAACCGGAGCUAAUACCGGAUAAUAUAUUGAACCGCAUGGUUCAAUAGUGAAAGACGGUUUUGCUGUCACUUAUAGAUGGAUCCGCGCCGCAUUAGCUAGUUGGUAAGGUAACGGCUUACCAAGGCAACGAUGCGUAGCCGACCUGAGAGGGUGAUCGGCCACACUGGAACUGAGACACGGUCCAGACUCCUACGGGAGGCAGCAGUAGGGAAUCUUCCGCAAUGGGCGAAAGCCUGACGGAGCAACGCCGCGUGAGUGAUGAAGGUCUUCGGAUCGUAAAACUCUGUUAUUAGGGAAGAACAAAUGUGUAAGUAACUAUGCACGUCUUGACGGUACCUAAUCAGAAAGCCACGGCUAACUACGUGCCAGCAGCCGCGGUAAUACGUAGGUGGCAAGCGUUAUCCGGAAUUAUUGGGCGUAAAGCGCGCGUAGGCGGUUUUUUAAGUCUGAUGUGAAAGCCCACGGCUCAACCGUGGAGGGUCAUUGGAAACUGGAAAACUUGAGUGCAGAAGAGGAAAGUGGAAUUCCUGUUGAAAGCGG